Molecule: ribosomal RNA, 492 nt
Filed under: uncultured bacterium
Lineage: Bacteria
Description: partial 16S ribosomal RNA
Rfam family: Bacterial small subunit ribosomal RNA
Source: RNAcentral
AGUGAACGCUGGCGGUAGGCCUAACACAUGCAAGUCGAGCGGCAGCACAGUAAGAGCUUGCUCUUACGGGUGGCGAGUGGCGGACGGGUGAGGAAUACAUAGGAAUCUACUUUUUCGUGGGGGAUGACGUAGGGAAACUUACGCUAAUACCGCAUACGACCUACGGGUGAAAGCAGGGGACCUUCGGACCUUGCGCGAUUGAAUGAGCCGAUGUCGGAUUAGCUAGUUCGCUGGGUAAAGGCCCACCAAGGCGACGAUCCGUAGCUGGUCUGAGAGGAUGAUCAGCCACACUGGAACUGAGACACGGUCCAGACUCCUACGGGAGGCAGCAGUGGGGAAUAUUAGACAAUGGGCGCAAGCCUGAUCCAGCCAUACCGCGUGGGUGAAGAAGGCCUUCGGGUUGUAAAGCCCUUUUGUUGGGAAAGAAAAGCAGCAGGUUAAUACCCCGCUGUUCUGACGGUACCCAAAGAAUAAGCACCGGCUAACUUCGUG